This 676-nucleotide ribosomal RNA is filed under the name uncultured fungus. RNAcentral describes it as "eukaryotic LSU rRNA". The stretch from base 228 to 381 matches the Rfam family "5.8S ribosomal RNA". Lineage: Eukaryota; Fungi. The record is from RNAcentral.
GGAAGGAUCAUUAUCGUACAAAAUGUGAGGGGCAUGUGAGGGCUGUCGCUGACUCAAAGUCGUGCACGCCCGAGUGUGUCCUCUCACAUAAUAAUCCAUCUCACCCUUUGUGCAUCGCCGCGUGAGCACCCUUUGGGAUCAUCUCGGAGGGGGCUCGCGUUUUCACACAAACCCCCCUUUUAAAAGUGUAGAAUGACCUCAUUUAUGCGCUAACACGCAAUCAAUACAACUUUCAACAACGGAUCUCUUGGCUCUCGCAUCGAUGAAGAACGCAGCGAAAUGCGAUACGUAAUGUGAAUUGCAGAAUUCAGUGAAUCAUCGAAUCUUUGAACGCACCUUGCGCCCCUUGGUAUUCCGAGGGGCACACCCGUUUGAGUGUCGUGAAAACCUCAACCUCCUUGGUUUCUUCUGGAGACCAAAGGCAGGCUUGGACUUUGGAGGCCUUUGCUGGAACCUCUCUCUUUUGAAGGCCAGCUCCUCUUAAACGAAUUAGCAGGGUCCUCUUUGCCGAUCCUCGACGUGUGAUAAGAUGUUUCCAUGUCUUGGUUUCUGGCUCUGUCACUUUUGGGACCCGCUUCUAACCGUCUUGACCUUGCAUCGAGACAAUGUUCGAGCAUGUCUCCCUUCUCGGGAAGCUCCCUCGACCCCACGAACCCUUGACCUCAAAUCGGGUGAG